UGCGCNCCUUNCAUGCAAGUCGAACGGCAGCACGGGAGCAAUCCUGGUGGCGAGUGGCGAANGGNGNGAGUAAUAUAUCGGAACAUGCCCAGUCGUGGGGGAUAACGCAGCGAAAGCUGUGCUAAUACCGCAUACGAUCCAUGGAUGAAAGCGGGGGACUCGCAAGGGCCUCGCGCGAUUGGAGUGGCCGAUAUCAGAUUAGCUAGUUGGUGGGGUAAAAGCUCACCAAGGCGACGAUCUGUAGCUGGUCUGAGAGGACGACCAGCCACACUGGAACUGAGACACGGUCCAGACUCCUACGGGAGGCAGCAGUGGGGAAUUUUGGACAAUGGGCGCAAGCCUGAUCCAGCAAUGCCGCGUGCAGGAUGAAGGCCUUCGGGUUGUAAACUGCUUUUGUACGGAGCGAAACGGCUCUCUCUAAUACAGGGGGCUAAUGACGGUACCGUAAGAAUAAGCACCGGCUAACUACGUGCCAGCAGCCGCGGUAAUACGUAGGGUGCGAGCGUUAAUCGGAAUUACUGGGCGUAAAGCGUGCGCAGGCGGUUUUGUAAGACAAAUGUGAAAACCCCGGGCUCAACCUGGGAACUGCAUAUGUGACUGCAAGGCUAGAGUACGGCAGAGGGGGAUGGAAUUCCGCGUG
This 640-nucleotide ribosomal RNA is filed under the name uncultured Pseudomonadota bacterium. Its description in RNAcentral is "bacterial SSU rRNA". It matches the Rfam family "Bacterial small subunit ribosomal RNA", at positions 43 to 675 of the family's 1533-position model. Lineage: Bacteria; Pseudomonadati; Pseudomonadota. The record is from RNAcentral.